AGUGAACGCUGGCGGUAGGCCUAACACAUGCAAGUCGAACGGCAGCACAGUAAGAGCUUGCUCUUACGGGUGGCGAGUGGCGGACGGGUGAGGAAUACAUCGGAAUCUACUUUUUCGUGGGGGAUAACGUAGGGAAACUUACGCUAAUACCGCAUACGACCUACGGGUGAAAGCAGGGGAUCUUCGGACCUUGCGCGAUUGAAUGAGCCGAUGUCGGAUUAGCUAGUUGGCGGGGUAAAGGCCCACCAAGGCGACGAUCCGUAGCUGGUCUGAGAGGAUGAUCAGCCACACUGGAACUGAGACACAGUCCAGACUCCUACGGGAGGCAGCAGUGGGGAAUAUUGGACAAUGGGCGCAAGCCUGAUCCAGCCAUACCGCAUGGGUGAAGAAGGCCUUCGGGUUGUAAAGCCCUUUUGUUGGGAAAGAAAAGCAGCAGGUUAAUACCCCGCUGUUCUGACGGUACCCAAAGAAUAAGCACCGGCUAACUUCGUG
This 492-nucleotide ribosomal RNA is filed under the name uncultured bacterium. RNAcentral's name for it is "partial 16S ribosomal RNA". It matches the Rfam family "Bacterial small subunit ribosomal RNA", at positions 29 to 507 of the family's 1533-position model. The record is from RNAcentral.